RNAcentral lists this long non-coding RNA (1178 nucleotides) under Sus scrofa (pig). Its description in RNAcentral is "lncRNA (ENSSSCG00060053588.1)". Lineage: Eukaryota; Metazoa; Chordata; Mammalia; Artiodactyla; Suidae. The record is from RNAcentral.
UUUGGUGAUGCUUCAUUGUUGCAACCCCACUUCUGGUCAAAAGGAAAGAGAACCAUGCUGGGAAUGGAGCCUGAAGUCAAGGUUUCUAGAAAAAAGGCCGUCCUGGGAGUGUCUGAGGGAAAGGGACCUGCUGCUGAAGGGCUGCACCUACACCACCAGAUCUGAGCUGCGUCUGUGACCCACUGAGCAGGGCCAGGGAUUGAACCUGCCUCUUCAUGGAUCCUAGUCCGGUUCUUAACCACUGAGCCACAGUGGGAACUCCCUAAACCUGCUUUACAUUUUCACGAGUGAUUCAUCCGUGAAUGAACACAAGUAGACAAGAGACCCUGUAACCAGUAAGGCCCAAGGGGACAUCUGCAGAUGGCAUCUCUGCCUGAAUAGAGAGGGAGCCUAGCAAGGACACAAAUUGUGCCUCUGUCCUUUCCUCCUUGCUGGGAUGUCCAUGAAAGAACAUGAUGCCUGUAAUUUUGCUAGCCAGCUUUGGACUCUUUGCUGACAAAGAUCAGAGAGAAAAGCCAACACUCAAAAGAUGGUGGAAAGAAGAAUGAAGAGUUUGGGUCCUCGAGAGUACCUUUGAGUGGCUGAAUUACCCUGAAGCCACCCACCCCUCCAGACUCUUGUGAGACCAGCAAUGAAGCCGUGGCUUCAUUGGUGGUCUUUUCCUCACACUCUAACUCAUGCUAAGGGAUACACCAACAACUCAUGUAUUCCUAUCUUUUUUUUUUGGCCACACCCAUAGUAUGCAGAAGUUCCUGGGCCAGGGAUUGAACCUGUGCCAUAGCAGCGACUUGAGCAGGUCCUCAACCCACUUCGCCACCAGGGAACUCUGAUACCUUUUUUUUUAUUUUUAUUUUUUUAAUUUUUUUUAGGGCCACAUCCAUGGUAUAUGGAAGUUCCCAGGCUAGGGGUCCAAUCGGAGCUGCAGUUGCCAGCCUACACCACAGCCACAGCAAUGCCAGAUCCUUAACCCACUGAAUGAAGCCAGGGAUCAAACCUGCAUCUCAUGGAUACUUGUCGGGUUCAUAACCCACUGAGUCACAAUGGGAACGCCCCUACUACUUUAAAUGAUCUUUUAAACUGAGUUCUUAGUAAAUGACUUGCAUUGAAAAAAAAAAAAAAAAACCACUUUAAAAAAAAAUCCUGAGUUAAAAGGUUAUGGAAAAAUGGAAUCCUUUACA